Molecule: long non-coding RNA, 1643 nt
Organism: Trachemys scripta elegans
Lineage: Eukaryota; Metazoa; Chordata; Testudines; Emydidae
Exons: 3
Source: RefSeq, a predicted model, not a curated record
UUAUUAACACUUGUUUUAUGUGUUUUGAGCAGUUUAGUUCGUUGGGGCAGAGCCAUGAAGGAGCCAUGCCUUCAGGUGAAAUUUGUCCAGGUCCAGAUGGAGGAUUUGGCUAUUGUUCUGAGAAAGAAGAUUGCGCAGUCGAGGGAGAGUGAAUGGUGUGCAAAUCGCCAUCCGUGUCAGAAACGGCUCCAGGAGAAGGAACCUGAAAUUUGAAAAGGAGAUGAUUAUGGGGUCAGAGGUGUGUCUUUUGCUGCGGCAAUCCAGGUUACAUGCCCUUUUGAGUGGCUGGUCCAGAGAGGAUAUCAGUCUACUACUUCUACCAGCUAAGUGAUGACCAAGAUUUCUUAAGCCAUCUAGUAUUCCUACUUUUCUUGUUGGUACCCAGAGAUUUAGAAAUGAAGCUCUCUUUACUGCAGCCAUCAAUACAGGUGCUGCCUCUCCUGAGCCGGUCACCAAGACUCGGAGGCAGACAGGGUAGCAACGCAUGGAUCCUUUGAGACUCUUGGCGACCGGGAUCCUGAAGUCUACGAGACAUGAAGAGUACUCGGAGGCCUGUGUGCAGAAGAGUUCUCAGAGCCUGGGUCAGAAGCUAGUCUUAGGGCUUACUCUCUCAUUUGAUCUCCCUGUUUUCCCAAGAUCUGCUUUUGAAGGAGGAGCAAAUUUUACACUUCUUGGGGGAGAUGGGUGUCUCCCAAAUAGCAGAGGAACCAAGAAUGGUGGUCAUUGAUUGGGAUAGCUUGCUGGCAGGAGAGACCUUAAAGCCUCGGGACCUUGCCAUACCCCAAAGCAGAAGUUCAGAAUCAACCCUCAGUCGGGAAAAUUGAACAAAAGGGGAACGACAAACUAUUAAACUAAAACUAUACUAGAAAUUGAGUAAAGUGGGCAUGGGUUGACGUUCUGCUUCAAGCCGAAGGCGGUUGAGAAGGAACAGAGGGCAGUUUGCCUGGGCAGCCCUAUACGUCGUUGGUAUGGGGCACAAGGAUGAGUAGGGCGCAUGCACGGGCCGAACAAGCACUGUUCCCAAAAAUCUCCCAUCAAAAGCACAUGGAUGGGCACACAGUCCUGAAGUGGAGCACCCCUAGGGACACCACUCAAAGAAGAAUACCAAGUGUGAUGGGGUGUCCACCCCACACAGGUAAAUUAGACCAAUUAACCUUAGGCUGCACCUGGAGGAAACAUAGGGAGUGCUAGGGCCUAAUUGCAGAUGAAGUUCAGUUUGGGGGAGGAGCUCAGCUGGUCUAUAUAGAGAGGAAGUUGGUAGGUUGUCAGAGAGGAAACCGGCAGUUGUACUCCCUGACACAAAGGGGAAGAGCAAGAAGCUGCAUGGACUGAGUAGGAAGCAGUCCAGGGAAGGAGCAGUAAGGGCUGGAAGAGUAAAAGCCCAGAGCUGCUCGGUUGAGGGUUCCUGGACUGGAAAACAGUGUAGAGAGUGGGCCUGGGUUCCCCUACCAGCUACUAAGGAAGUGGCGCAGAUCAGACAUGAGGAGCAGAUUACCUGCGACAGGUGAAAGGUCCACCGCAGCUCCCCACAGCUGCCUCGUGCCAUGAACCACCGCCCACCUCCCCCAGUCGGAGCCACACUGGGGAGAGUUGUGCUGGCAGCGGUGGGAAGCCUAAGUCCCUCCACCUGCCCUGGGUCGAAG